Molecule: long non-coding RNA, 336 nt
Filed under: Mytilus galloprovincialis (Mediterranean mussel)
Lineage: Eukaryota; Metazoa; Mollusca; Bivalvia; Mytilida; Mytilidae
Source: RNAcentral
CUUCAAGGUAGCACAUAGGGAUAAUGAUAACCUAGAUUUUUUGGUAAAAGAAUAUUCUGAUACCCACAAAAAUAUUUAGGUCUAGCAUAUGAUUUUGUUUUAUUCUGAAUCCAGAUUUUCCUCAUACAUUAUAGUGUUAAAUUUAAAAAAGAAUAAUUUGAUUGAUAUCGUUGAAAAAUUAAAAAAACAGUUCUGACUCAGAAAAAAGACCCAUAUCCAUCCAUCAAGUUAGAAGGUUGCUUGCUGAUUGACCUUUUCUGAAAUCAUAAUAACUUUUAUCUUUAAAGUAAUAGUAUAUGAUAAUUUUUUCAUAAAGAUAAAUAUACAUGCCACGAA